Non-coding RNA from Cordylochernes scorpioides, 118 nucleotides. The record is from the annotation of a GenBank genome assembly. Lineage: Eukaryota; Metazoa; Arthropoda; Arachnida; Pseudoscorpiones; Chernetidae.
GUGUAUAUAGGUGGCGCAUUAUAGCACCGGUUCUCGUCCGAUCACCGAAGUUAAGCAGUGUCGGGCCCGGUCAGUACUUGGGAGGGUGACCACCUGGGAACACCGGGGGAUGCAGGCU